Long non-coding RNA from Austrofundulus limnaeus, 2388 nucleotides. RefSeq lists it as uncharacterized. The transcript is spliced from 7 exons. NCBI's taxonomy places the organism in Eukaryota, Metazoa, Chordata, Actinopteri, Cyprinodontiformes, Rivulidae. The record is from RefSeq and is a predicted model, not a curated record.
CCGCUCCAACCAUGGCUCAGUGAGGCUGCGGCUCUCUGCAGGGGAGGAUCGCUGCCGCGGCGGGUCACCAUCACCUCACAGCACCGGACUCUCUUUAGGACACGAGCAGCCUCUGCUGAGGUCGGAAACAAUCCCCGCGAUCGAUCCGUUCCUUCCGUUCCAUUCAUCCCCCGCAAGGAUUUAUUUCUGAGGAUCACGCAGCCCUUAUAAUAAGACAGCGGCGCUGACACGUGCGGAGAAGUUUGUCAAAAGAAAUCUGACGAUCAGGACAACAGCUGGUGGAUUAAAAACAGCGGGUCUUCUUGGAUGUAAACAUGAUUGAACUACAGGGGGGGACUGGUUCUUCUGUCCUGCUGCUGGACAAGCUGGAUGAGUCUCCCGGGAUAUUUUGGGAUCCACGCGUGGUCAGCAGGGAUGAUCUGUGUGGAAAUUCAUAUCAUGUGUAUAAUUUAUGAUUCCUCCCCAUGUCACAAGGAAACAUCACCCAUAUCCUGGAAUAUAUUUUUAAAAGAUGCUAUCAAGAUGCUUCAGUGAUUUGGAUAAUAAGAUUCUCUUGAACAAACAGCAGCGCAUACAGAAGCGAACAGAUGUUUACACGGCUUUCACACAGCCAACAAGAGCAGAUGAUGAGCCGUCAGUCAGACAUCAGCUGGCACAACGUACACGAAGAAGAAUGCGUCCACGGCGAUGGUUCCACCUGUGCUGUCUGUGAUUUCCUGUGGAAUCCACAACCUUGGAAUGAGAUGUCAUCUCUUAAUCGCCUCCCAGGGAUUUUCUGGUUUUGUGACUCACCCAGAUGUGCAGAAUGUUCUGCAACCCAGUGGAUUUACGCCAGAAACGUAUACUGUUACUGCGGUUCAAGCUAAUAAAGCUGACGCAACUCGUACUUUUUUACUGUUGGCACAACUGGUAGCCAAAUGCUGUUAACUAUUUAACUUAACACAGGGAACUUGGACAAGCUUUAUGGGUUGGUGUUUGUUGUGGUACCCUUAAAACACAUUUCUUAUCCUCAAAAUGGCAUCUUUACACAAAUCUUGUGAUUACUCUUCUUUUCAAGGCCAUCGGCUCUGUGCUGCAGCCCACAGUAGUCUGUUUGCUUAGCGACUCUUUUCACCCCCCCCGCACUGGUAGCCUCUGUUCUGUUUGGUCCUCCCUCAACCAACCAGUUUGUGCUUGUCAUUGUGUCACCCCAGGGUGAUGCCACUCUCUCAGCCCCCUUGAGAACCUUCUGCCUCCGCAGCACUCUAUGUUUGCCCAAUCAUUUGAGAUCCGGAUACGGGAAUGAAUUGUUAACUACAGCAGGGCCUCAUCUCCGUGCGUGAAGAGCAAGGAUGAAGGUCCAUUCGAACCGUCUGGCUUGUCCACAGCGCUCCACUAAGCUUUUAUCUCAGCGUCUGGUUGCAGCUCCAUCCGGACCUGACUGACUCCCAGCAAGUGCACAAUCCUGAGACCUGUGGCAUAAAUAAAGAUAAUGCUGUUUGGAAUAAUAACAGUCAAUUCCACCCAAGAGACACAAGCGUGGCGGAAUACAAAAGAAACCAAGAUGAAAGGCUGAUAGAUGAUCCCAGGUGAACACUGAGAUAGGGCUGAGUAAUGGAAACACAAUCUCAACAGUGUACAAAGGAUUCCACCGAAUCCUGGUUUGGAUCAUGGACCGGAUUCUCCAGCAGCAGAUUUUUCUUUUUUUAUUGUUUUUUUUUUUUUUUUUUGCCAUGACUCAGUUCCAUCCCUGAAAAUAUACUGUAGAUCUGAGAUCUGAGCCAGGAGUCUGAAGUUGGAAAAGCUUUGACGUACACUCAGCAGCACAGUGGAGUGUUUUCUGCUUCAUGAAACGCAUCGAUCAACGUCUGGAUACACAAUAAGUGAAAAAGUCAAUGUGAUGAAUGCACUUGUAUCACAGUUACCUCAAUCAUUUAGACAUUGUUUGUCUUUUUGGUCUGGGCUGAACUUGGAUGAAUAGUUUUGCUUUAGGUUUUCAGCCCUUCACUAUGUUGUUACCCCUAAUUUGUGACCAUUACUAAAAAAAAGAUUUUAUGUUUUUGUCACCUGUGCACCAACGUGUGUUGAAAGAGCAAUACUAGGCUUUCUAUUUAAUAAAUUUUAAUAUACUUGUGAUCAAGAUACCAAAAAAGUUUAUCUAAUUAAAUAGAAAUGUGAUUUCUGUUUUUUUUUCCCAGAAAAUAUUCACAAAGAAGCCAUUGUUAAAACUUUUGAAUGUAAACCAGAAACACUACCUACAAUCCUUUGUGACACAUUGGCAGCCCUUUGGUAAUGGCGGCUAAUAAUCCUGUCAUCCUUCACUGUGUAUUCUGAUCAUAAUUUAUAUCUCAGUGAAUUGUUAUGUCUGAUAAAACCUGUUAACAAGAAUAAUAAAAGUGGAUCUGAGCU